AGACGGGUGAGUAACGCGUGGGAACGUACCAUUUGCUACGGAAUAACUCAGGGAAACUUGUGCUAAUACCGUAUGUGCCCUUCGGGGGAAAGAUUUAUCGGCAAAUGAUCGGCCCGCGUUGGAUUAGCUAGUUGGUGGGGUAAAGGCCUACCAAGGCGACGAUCCAUAGCUGGUCUGAGAGGAUGAUCAGCCACACUGGGACUGAGACACGGCCCAGACUCCUACGGGAGGCAGCAGUGGGGAAUAUUGGACAAUGGGCGCAAGCCUGAUCCAGCCAUGCCGCGUGAGUGAUGAAGGCCCUAGGGUUGUAAAGCUCUUUCACCGGUGAAGAUAAUGACGGUAACCGGAGAAGAAGCCCCGGCUAACUUCGUGCCAGCAGCCGCGGUAAUACGAAGGGGGCUAGCGUUGUUCGGAUUUACUGGGCGUAAAGCGCACGUAGGCGGGCUAAUAAGUCAGGGGUGAAAUCCCGGGGCUCAACCCCGGAACUGCCUUUGAUACUGUUAGUCUUGAGUAUGGUAGAGGUGAGUGGAAUUCCGAGUG
Molecule: ribosomal RNA, 540 nt
Filed under: Brucella intermedia
Lineage: Bacteria; Pseudomonadati; Pseudomonadota; Alphaproteobacteria; Hyphomicrobiales; Brucellaceae
Description: bacterial SSU rRNA
Rfam family: Bacterial small subunit ribosomal RNA
Source: RNAcentral